AUAUUUCCUCAGUCGACACUGCAAGUCCAAGACCUAAGGGGAUGUGUGUAUGUGUGUAUGUUUGUGUUUGUGUGUGUGUGUGGUGAAUUAUCAGAGAGGGAACCAAAGGCUAAAGGGAGCAGAGGACCUGAUAAGACGGCACCAGCGAGGAAUCCAAAAGAAACUUCUGCCCACAGCUUCCUCAGUCUCUAUAGCAACAGCUGCCGAGGCUCCGUGCAGAAAAGAGACGAUUGGUAUUCUCCCUUACCUCCUCCUCACCGACAGCAAACAUCACUCUCAUCAAAGGCUCCCGUCUUUGAUCAGGUCUUCAAAGAAGCGUGUCAUCAAAGUCUAUCAGGAGCAUUGAUCCUCACGCACCUGCACCUCUCAUCUCCUCUCAGAAAAAUAAAAGAGUGCAUCUCGAGCCCCCGUUCUGUGCUGCAGCGUUAUUCCCAUGAUUCUUUUUUCAUGCUCCAGCCGCUUGUGUCAACCUGGCUGGAGCUCGGGAGGGAGGGAAUUUGUGAAUCAACACUGCCUCUGGUGGACUGAGUCUGCAUGUCCGGUGAGACACCAUAAACACCUGCAGUACAGUUCAGAGCAGAUGCUGCAGUGAAAAAAAAUAAAAAUGACCUAUAUCUCCUGAACGCUCGUGGAUGCCCAUAUUGAGCCGCUCUCAUAGAGGAGAGUUCAACUCUUAUCCGGGUAAUGUGGUUAAUCAAUUAGAAGUCCUCGUCCCCAGAGGGUAUUCACAUUAACUUGAGUAUAGGUUUUCACUUAGAGUGGAUCAGUGAUCUCUGCAGUGGCUUCCAC
RNAcentral lists this long non-coding RNA (789 nucleotides) under Sparus aurata (gilthead seabream). RNAcentral's name for it is "lncRNA (ENSSAUG00010027207.1)". Lineage: Eukaryota; Metazoa; Chordata; Actinopteri; Spariformes; Sparidae. The record is from RNAcentral.